GGAUGCGAUCAUACCAACUCACAUGCACCGGAUCCCAUCCGAACUCCGAAGUUAAGCGAGUUUCGACGAGAAUAGUACUAGGAUGGAUGACCGCCUGGGAAGUUCUCGUGUUGUAUCCC
This is a ribosomal RNA of Pyrus x bretschneideri (Chinese white pear), 119 nucleotides long. NCBI's taxonomy places the organism in Eukaryota, Viridiplantae, Streptophyta, Magnoliopsida, Rosales, Rosaceae. The record is from RefSeq and is a predicted model, not a curated record.